AAAAGCACUUUGAAAAGAGAGUGCAAGAGAACGUGAAACCGGUUAUAGUGGAAACAGAUGGAGCCGACGUAUCCAGUGCGUAUUUAGCCGUUGUCGAGUGCAAUUCGCCCGUUUCGAGUUCUGAAAAGUCUCUGGCGAGUAGUUGUUGUGCUUGGCGAAUGGUGCACUUGCGCGCAGAGUGCGCCGAAUCGGUUGGACUUGGUGUUCGAGGUCUGGUCAAGAGGACCAGCCCGAGAGGGCUGGAAACCCGGACCGGGCGGGGGCGACACAUGAGUCUGGCUGCGUUGCAUAAGGCUGGUCGAAUGUGGAGCGGUCGGUGGAGUGUCGGUGUUGUUUGGGGUGCGACGCAUGCGCUUCGUCUCGCAACUCGUCUCUUCGCUGGGCGUUUCUCGGCCGGCGUUCGGUGUCUGGUCGGUCACCCAUCUGACCCGUCUUGAAACACGGACCAAGGAGUUUAAGGUUUGCGCGAGUCAUUGGGUGCAAAACUCAAAGGCGGAAUGAAGGUGGGACACCUGGUGUCUGUGAUGCGAUCUGUGCAUGAUUCGUCGUGUGUGGAGCAGCAUCGACCCACGACCAGAACUGGUUCUGUUGUGGAGUCUGAGCGUGGGCUUUGAGACCCGAAAGAUGGCGAACUAUGCCUGAACAGGACGAAGUCAGAGGGAACUCUGAUGGAAGUCCGAAGCGGUUCUGACGUGCAAAUCGAUCGUCUGAUUUGGGUAUAGGGGCGCAAGACUAAUCGAACCAUC
This 746-nucleotide ribosomal RNA is filed under the name Ficophagus sp. ex Ficus curtipes YN-2. RNAcentral's name for it is "partial 28S ribosomal RNA". It matches the Rfam family "Eukaryotic large subunit ribosomal RNA", at positions 367 to 944 of the family's 3401-position model. Lineage: Eukaryota; Metazoa; Nematoda; Chromadorea; Rhabditida; Aphelenchoididae. The record is from RNAcentral.